RNAcentral lists this long non-coding RNA (9060 nucleotides) under Citrus x clementina. RNAcentral's name for it is "Citrus clementina (C. clementina) long non-coding RNA (CCLE_LNC003158)". Lineage: Eukaryota; Viridiplantae; Streptophyta; Magnoliopsida; Sapindales; Rutaceae. The record is from RNAcentral.
GGGGCUGGCCAACUUCGUCCGCCGGACUCGGAAUUCCACGAGACUUUGCGAGCGGCCUCCGUGUGCCAAGAAUAGGCCGCGGCUAAAGCCGCGCCCAAAAAUAACCGCCCGAAGGCCGGGGCGCCAAGUUCGUCAAGCGGAAAAAGACCACAAAAACGGGUGGGCUAUAGCCUUGGGGGGUGGGGCUGGCCAACUUCGUCCGCCGGACUCGGAAUGCCGCGAAACUUUGCGAGGGGCCUCCGUGUGCCAAAAAUAGGACGUGAGUAAAGCCGCGCCCAAAAAUAACCGCCUGAAGGCCGGGGCGCCAAGUUCGUCCAGCUGAAAAAGGCCACAAAAACAGGUGGGCUAUAGCCUUGGGGGGUGGGUUGGCCCACUUCGUCCGCCGGACUCGGAAUGCCGCGACACUUUGGGAGGGGCCUCCGUGUGCGAAAAAUAGGCCGCGGGCAAAGCCGCGCCGAAAAAUAACCACCCGAAGGCCGGGGCGCAAAGUUCGUCCAGCGGAAAAAAGGCCACAAAAACGGGUGGGCUAUAUAGCCUUGGGGGGUGGGGCUGGCCAACUUCGUCCGCCGGACUCGGAAUGCCGCGAGACUUUACGAGGGGCCUCCGUGUGCCAAAAAUAGGCCGUGAGUAAAGCCGCGCCCAAAAAUAACCGCCCGAAGGCCGGGGCGCCAAGUUCGUCCAGCUGAAAAAGGCCACAAAAACAGGUGGGCUAUAGCCUUGGGUGGUGGGGUUGGCCCACUUCGUCCGCCGGACUCGGAAUGCCGCGAGACUUUGCGAGGGGCCUUCGUGUGCGAAAAAUAGGCCGCGGGCAAAGCCGCGCCGAAAAAUAACCACCCGAAGGCCGGGGCGCAAAGUUCGUCCAGCGGAAAAAGGCCACAAAAACGGGUGGGCUAUAUAGCCUUGGGGGGUGGGGCUGGCCCACUUCGUCCGCCGGACUGGGAAUGCCGCGAGACCCUGCGAGGGGCCUCCGUGUCUGAAAAAUAGGCCGCGGGCAAAGCCGCACCCAAAAAUAACCGCCCGAAGGCCGGGGCGCCAAGUUCGUCCAGCGGAAAAAGGCCACAAAAACGGGUGGGCUAUAGCCUUGGGGGGUCGGGCUGGCCAACUUCGUCCGCCGGACUCGGAAUUCCACGAGACUUUGCGAGCGGCCUCCGUGUGCCAAGAAUAGGCCGCGGCUAAAGCCGCGCCCAAAAAUAACCGCCCGAAGGCCGGGGCGCCAAGUUCGUCAAGCGGAAAAAGACCACAAAAACGGGUGGGCUAUAGCCUUGGGGGGUGGGGCUGGCCAACUUCGUCCGCCGGACUCGGAAUGCCGCGAAACUUUGCGAGGGGCCUCCGUGUGCCAAAAAUAGGCCGUGAGUAAAGCCGCGCCCAAAAAUAACCGCCUGAAGGCCGGGGCGCCAAGUUCGUCCAGCUGAAAAAGGCCACAAAAACAGGUGGGCUAUAGCCUUGGGGGGUGGGUUGGCCCACUUCGUCCGCCGGACUCGGAAUGCCGCGACACUUUGGGAGGGGCCUCCGUGUGCGAAAAAUAGGCCGCGGGCAAAGCCGCGCCGAAAAAUAACCACCCGAAGGCCGGGGCGCAAAGUUCGUCCAGCGGAAAAAGGCCACAAAAACGGGUGGGCUAUAUAGCCUUGGAGGGUGGGGCUGGCCAACUUCGUCCGCCGGACUCGGAAUGCCGCGAGACUUUACGAGGGGCCUCCGUGUGCCAAAAAUAGGCCGUGAGUAAAGCCGCGCCCAAAAAUAACCGCCCGAAGGCCGGGGCGCCAAGUUCGUCCAGCUGAAAAAGGCCACAAAAACAGGUGGGCUAUAGCCUUGGGUGGUGGGGUUGGCCCACUUUGUCCGCCGGACUCGGAAUGCCGCGAGACUUUGCGAGGGGCCUUCGUGUGCGAAAAAUAGGCCGCGGGCAAAGCCGCGCCGAAAAAUAACCACCCGAAGGCCGGGGCGCCAAGUUCGUCCAGCAGAAAAUGGCCACAAAAACGGGUGGGCUAUACCCUUGGGGGGUGGGGCUGGCCAACUUCGUACGCCGGAAACGGAAUGCUGCGAGACUUUGCGAGGGGCCUCCGUGUGCCAAAAAUAGGCAGCGGGCUAAGCCGCACCCAAAAAUAACUGCCCGAAGGCGGGGGUGCCAAGUUCGUCCAGCGGAAAAAGACCACAAAAACGGGUGGGCUAUACCCUUGGGGGGUGGGGCUGGCCCACUUCGUCCGCCGGACUCGGAAUGCCGCGAGACUUUGCGAGCGGCCUCCGUGUGCCAAAAAUAGGUCGCGGGCAAAGCCGUACCCAAAAAUAACCGCCCGAAGGCCCGGGCGCCAAGUUCGUCCAGCGGAAAAUGGCCACAAAAACGGGUGGGCUAUAGACUUGGGGGGUGGGGCUGGCCAACUUCGUCCGCCGGACUCGGAAUGCCGCGAGACUUUGCGAGGGUCCUCUGUGUGCCAAAAAUAGGCCGCGGGCAAAGCCGCACCCAAAACUAACCGCCCGAAGGCCGGGGCACCAAGUUCGUCCAGCGGAAAAUGGCCACAAAAACGGGUGGACUAUAGCCUUGGGGGGUGCGGCUGGCCAACUUCGUCCGCCGGACUCGGAGUGCCGCGAGACUUUGCGAGGGGCCUCCGUGUGGCAAAAAUAGGCCGCGGGUAAAGCCGCGCCCAAAAAUAACCGCCCGAAGGCCGGGGCGCCAAGUUCGACCAGCGGAAAAAGGCCACAAAAAAGGGUGGGCUAUUGCCUUGGGGGGUGGGGCCGGCCCACGUCGUCCGCCGGACUCGGAAUGGCGCGACACUUUCCGAGGUGCCUCCGUGUGCCAAAAAUAGGCCGCGGGCAGAGCUGCGCCCAAAAAUAACCGACCGAAGGCCGGGGCGCCAAGUUCGUCCAGCGGAAAAAGGCCAGAAAAACGGGUGGGCUAUAGCCUUGGGGGGUGCGGCUGGCCAACUUCGUCCGCCGGACUCGGAAUGGCGCGAGACAUUGCGAGCGGCCUCCGUGCACCAAGAAUAGGCCGCGGGCACAGACGCGCCCAAAAAUAACCGCCCGAAGGCCGGGGCGCCAAGUUCGACCAGCGGAAAAAGGCCACAAAAAAGGGUGGGCUAUUGCCUUGGGAGGUGGCGCCGGCCAACGUCGUCCGCCGGACUCGGAAUGGCGCGACACUUUCCGAGGCACCUCCGUGUGUCAAAAAUAGGCCGUGGGCAGAGCCGCGCCCAAAAAUAACCGCCCGAAGGCCGGGGCGCCAAGUUCGUCAAGCGGAAAAAGGCCACAAAAACGGGUGGGCUAUAGCCUUGGGGGGUGGGGCUGGCCCACUUCGUCCGCCGGACUCGGAAUGCCGCGAGACUUUGCGAGGGCCCUCCGUGUGCGAAAAAUAGGCCGUGGUCAAAGCCGCGCCGAAAAAUAACCACCCAAAGGCCGGGGCGCCAAGUUCGUCCAGCGGAAAAAGGCCACAAAAACGGGUGGGUUAUAGCCUUGGGUUGUGGGGCUGGCAAACUUCGUCCGCCGGACUCGGAAUGCCGCGAGACUUUGCGAGGGGCCUCCGUGUGCCAAAAAUAGGCCGCGGGCAAAGCCGCGCCCGAAAAUAACCGCCCGAAGGCCGGGGCGCCAAGUUCGUCCAGCGGAAAAAGGCCACAAAAACGGGUGGGCUAUAGCCUUGGGGGGUGGGGCUGGCCAACUUCGUCCGCCGGACUCGGAAUGCCGCGAGACUUUUCGAGGGGCCUCCGUGUGCCAAAAAUAGGCCGAGGGCAAAGCCGCGCCCGAAAAUAACCGGCCGAAGGCCGGGGCGCCAAGUUCGUCCAGCGGAAAAAGGCCACAAAAACGGGUGGGCUAUAGCCUUGGGGAGUGGGGCUGGCCAACUUCGUCCCCCGGACUCGGAAUGCCGCGAGACUUUGAGAGGGGCCUCCAUGUGACAAAAAUCGGCCGCGGGUAAAGCCGCGCCCAAAAAUAACCGCCCGAAGGCCGGGGCGCCAAGUUCGUCCUGCUGAAAAAGGCCACAAAAACAGGUGGGCUAUAGCCUUGGGGGGCGGGGUUGGCCCACUUCGUCCGCCGGACUCGGAAUGCCGCGAGACUUUGCGAGGGGCCUCCGUGUGCCAAAAAUAGGCCGCGGGCAAAGCCGCACCGAAAAAUAACCACCCGAAGGCCGGGGCGCCAAGUUCGUCCAGCGGAAAAUGGCCACAAAAACGGGUGGGCUAUACCCUUGGGGGGUGGGGCUGGCCAACUUCGUCUGCCGGACUCAGAAUGCCAUGAGACUUUCCGAGGGGCCUCCGUGUGCCAAAAAUAGGCCACGGGCUAAGCCGCGCCCAAAAAUAACUGCCCGAAGGCCGGGGCGCCAUGUUCGUCCAGCGGAAAAAGGCCACAAAAACGGGUGGGCUAUAGCCUUGGGUGGUGGGGCUGGCCAACUUCGUCCGCCGGACUCGGAAUGCCGCGAGACUUUGCGAGGGGCCUCCGUGUGCCAAAAAUAGGCCGUGAGUAAAGCCGCGCCCAAAAAUAACCGCCCGAAGGCCGGGGCGCCAAGUUCGUCCAGCUGAAAAACGCCACAAAAGCAGGUGGGCUAUAGCCUUGGGGGGUGGGUUUGGCCCACUUCGUCCGCCGGACUCGGAAUGCCGCGAGACUUUGUGAGGGGCCUCCGUGUGCGAAAAAUAGGCCGCGGGCAAAGCCGCGCCGAAAAAUAACCACCCGAAGGCCGGGGCGCCAAGUUCGUCCAGCGGAAAAAGGCCACAAAAACGGGUGGGCUAUAUAGCCUUGGGGGGUGGGGCUGGCCAACUUCGUCCGCCGGACUCGGAAUGCCGCGAGACUUUGCGAGGGGCCUCCGUGUGCCAAAAAUAGGCCGUGAGUAAAGCCGCGCCCAAAAAAACCGCCCGAAGGCCGGGGCGCCAAGUUCGUCCAGCUGAAAAGGCUACAAAAACAGGUGGGCUAUAGCCUUGGGUGGUGGGGUUGGCCCACUUCCUCCGCCGGACUCGGAAUGCCGCGAGACUUUGCGAGGGGCCUCCGUGUGCGAAAAAUAGGCCGCGGGCAAAGCCGCGCCGAAAAAUAACCACCUGAAGGCCGGGGCGCCAAGUUCGUCCUGCGGAAAAUGGCCACAAAAACGGGUGGGCUAUACCCUUGGGGGGUGGGGCUGGCCAACUUCGUACGCCGGACACGGAAUGCUGCGAGACUUUGCGAGGGGCCUCCGUGUGCCAAAAAUAGGCAGCGGGCUAAGCCGCACCCAAAAAUAACUGCCCGAAGGCGGGGGUGCCAAGUUCGUCCAGCGGAAAAAGGCCACAAAAACGGGUGGGCUAUACCCUUGGGGGGUGGGGCUGGCCCACUUCGUUCGCCGGACUCGGAAUGCCGCGAGACUUUGCGAGGGUCCUCCGUGUGCCAAAAAUAGGCCGCGGGCAAAGCCGCACCCAAAAAUAACAACCCGAAGGCCGGGGCGCCAAGUUCGUCCAGCGGAAAAUGGCCACAAAAACGGGUGGGCUAUAGCCUUGGGGGGUGGGGUUGGCCCACUUCGUCCGCCGGACUCGGAAUGCCGCGAGACUUUGCGAGGGGCCUCCGUGUGCGAAAAAUAGGCCGCGGUCAAAGCCGCGCUGAAAAAUAACCACCCGAAGGCCGGGGCGCCAACUUCCUCCAGCGGAAAAUGGCCACAAAAACGGGUGGGCUAUACCCUUGGGGGGUGGGGUUGGCCAACUUCGUCCGCCGGACUCAGAAUGCCAUGAGACUUUCCGAGGGGCCUCCGUGUGCCAAAAAUAGGCCGCGGGCUAAGCCGCGCCCAAAAAUAACUGCCCGAAGGCCGGGGCGCCAUGUUCGUCCAGCGGAAAAAGGACAGAAAAACGGGUGGGCUAUNNNNNNNNNNNNNNNNNNNNNNNNNNNNNNNNNNNNNNNNNNNNNNNNNNNNNNNNNNNNNNNNNNNNNNNNNNNNNNNNNNNNNNNNNNNNNNNNNNNNNNNNNNNNNNNNNNNNNNNNNNNNNNNNNNNNNNNNNNNNNNNNNNNNNNNNNNNNNNNNNNNNNNNNNNNNNNNGGCUAUAGCCUUGGGGGGUGGGGUUGGCCCACUUCGUCCGCCGGACUCGGAAUGCCGCGAGACUUUGCGAGGGGCCUCCGUGUGCGAAAAAUAGGCCGCGGUCAAAGCCGCGCUGAAAAAUAACCACCCGAAGGCCGGGGCGCCAACUUCCUCCAGCGGAAAAUGGCCACAAAAACGGGUGGGCUAUACCCUUGGGGGGUGGGGUUGGCCAACUUCGUCCGCCGGACUCAGAAUGCCAUGAGACUUUCCGAGGGGCCUCCGUGUGCCAAAAAUAGGCCGCGGGCUAAGCCGCGCCCAAAAAUAACUGCCCGAAGGCCGGGGCGCCAUGUUCGUCCAGCGGAAAAAGGCCAGAAAAACGGGUGGGCUAUAUAGCCUUGGGGGGUGGGGCUGGCCAACUUCGUCCGCCGGACUCGGAAUGCCGCGAGACUUUACGAGGGGCCUCUGUGUGCCAAAAAUAGGCCGUGAGUAAAGCCGCGCCCAAAAAUAACUGCCCGAAGGCCGGGGCGCCAAGUUCGUCCAGCUGAAAAAGGCCACAAAAACGGGUGGGCUAUAGCCUUCGGGGGUGGGGCUGGCCAACUUCGUCCGCCGGACUUGGAAUGCCGCGAGACUUUGCGAGGGGCCUCCGUGUGCCAAAAAUACGCCGCGGGCAAAGCCACUCCCAAAAAUAACCGCCCGAAGGCCGGGGCGCCAAGUUCGUCCAGCGGAAAAAGGCCACAAAAAAAGGGUGGGCUUAUACCUUGAGGGGUGCGGCUGGCCAACUUCGUCCGCCGGACUCGGAAUGCCGCGAGACUUUGCGAGGGGCCUUCGUGUGCCAAAAAUAGGCCGCGGGUAAAGCCGCGCCCAAAAAUAACCGCCCGAAGGCCGGGGCGCCAAGUUCGUCCAGCUGAAAAAGGCCACAAAAACAGGUGGACUAUAGCCUUGGGGGGUGGGGUUGGCCCACUUCGUCCGCCGGACUCGGAAUGCCGCGAGACUUUGCGAGGGGCCUCCGUGUGCGAAAAAUAGGCCGCGGGCAAAGCUGCGCCGAAAAAUAACCACCCGAAGGCCGGGGCGCCAAGUUCGUCCAGCGGAAAAUGGCCACAAAAACGGGUGGGCUAUACCCUUGGGGGGUGGGGCUAGCCAACUUCGUCCGCCGGACUCAGAAUGCCAUGAGACUUUCCGAGGGGCCUCCGUGUGCCAAAAAUAGGCCGCGGGCUAAGCCGCUCCCAAAAAUAACUGCCCGAAGGCCGGGGCGCCAUGUUCGUCCAGCGGAAAAAGGCCACAAAAACGGGUGGGCUAUAGCCUUGGGUGGUGGGGCUGGCCAACUUCGUCCGCCGGACUCGGAAUGCCGCGAGACUUUGCGAGGGGCCUCCGUGUGCCAAAAAUAGGCCGUGAGUAAAGCCACACCCAAAAAUAACUGCCCGAAGGCCGGGGCGCCAAGUUCGUCCAGCUGAAAAAGGCCACAAAAACAGGUGGGCUAUAGCCUUGGGGGGGGGGGGGUUGGCCCACUUCGUCUGCCGGACUCGGAAUGCCGCGAGACUUUGUGAGGGGCCUCCGUGUGCGAAAAAUAGGCCGCGGGCAAAGCCGCGCCGAAAAAAAACCACCCGAAGGCCGGGGCGCCAAGUUCGUCCAGCGGAAAAAGGCCACAAAAACGGGUGGGCUAUAGCCUUGGGGGGUGGGGCUGGCCAACUUCGUCCGCCGGACUCGGAAUGCCGCGAGACUUUGCAAGGGGCCUCCGUGUGCCAAAAAUAGGCCGCGGGCAAAGCCGCUAUCGAAAAUAACAGCCCGAAGGCCGGGGCGCCAAGUUCGUCCAGCGGAAAAAGGCCACAAAAAAGGGUGGGCUAUAGCCUUGGGGGGUGGGGCUGGCCAACUUCGUCCGCCGGACUCGGAAUGCCGCGAGACUUUGCGAGGGGCCUCCGUGUGCCAAAAAUAGGCCGUGAGUAAAGCCGCGCCCAAAAAUAACCACCCGAAGGCCGGGGCGCCAAAUUCGUCCAGCUGAAAAAGGCCACAAAAACAGGUGGGCUAUAGCCUUGGGUGGUGGGGUUGGCCCACUUCGUCCGCCGGACUCGGAAUGCCGCGAGAGUUUGCGAGGGGCCUCCGUGUGCGAAAAAUAGGCCACGGGCAAAGCCACGCCGAAAAAUAACCACCCGAAGGCCGGGGCGCCAAGUUCGUCCAGCGGAAAAUGGCCACAAAAACGGGUGGGCUAUACCCUUGGGGGGUGGGGCUGGCCAACUUCGUACGCCGGACACGGAAUGCUGCGAGAUUUUGUGAGGGGCCUCCGUGUGUCAAAAAUAGGCAGCGGGCUAAGCCGCACCCAAAAAUAACUGCCCGAAGGCGGGGGUAGCAAGUUCGUCCAACGGAAAAAGGCCACAAAAACGGGUGGGCUAUACCCUUGGGGGGUGGGGCUGGCCCACUUCGUCCGCCGGACUCGGAAUGCCGCGAGACUUUGCGAGGGUCCUCCGUGUGCCAAAAAUAGGCCGCGGGCAAAGCCGCACCCAAAAAUAACCACCCGAAGGCCGGGGCGCCAAGUUCGUCCAGCGGAAAAUGGCCACAAAAACGGGUGGGCUAUAGCCUUGGGGGGUGGGGCUGGCCAACUUCGUCCGCCGGACUCGGAAUGCCGCGAGACUUUGCGAGGGGCCUCCGUGUGCCAAAAAUAGGCCGCGGGCAAAGCCGCUCCCGAAAAUAACCGCCCGAAGGCCGGGGCGCGAAGUUCGUCCAGCGGAAAAAGGCCACAAAAAAGGGUGGGCUAUAGCCUUGGGGGGUGGGGCUGGCCAACUUCGUCCGCCGGACUCGGAAUGCCGCGAGACUUUGCGAGGGGCCUCCGUGUGCCAAAAAUAGGCCGCGGGUAAACCCGCGCCAAAUAAAUAACCGCCCGAAGGCCGGGGCGCCAAGUUCGUCCAGCUGAAAAAGGCCACAAAAACAGGUGGGCUAUAGCCUUGGGGGGUGGGGUUGGCCCACUUCGUCCGCCGGACUCGGAAUGCCGCGAGACUUUGCGAGGGGCCUCCGUGUGCGAAAAAUAGGCCGCGGGCAAAGCCGCGCCGAAAAAUAAUCACCCGAAGGCCGGGGCGCCAAGUUUGUCCUGCGGAAAAUGGCCACAAAAACGGGUGGGCUAUACCCUUGGGGGG